Molecule: ribosomal RNA, 492 nt
Filed under: uncultured bacterium
Lineage: Bacteria
Description: partial 16S ribosomal RNA
Rfam family: Bacterial small subunit ribosomal RNA
Source: RNAcentral
AGUGAACGCUGGCGGUAGGCCUAACACAUGCAAGUCGAACGGCAGCACAGUAAGAGCUUGCUCUUACGGGUGGCGAGUGGCGGACGGGUGAGGAAUACAUCGGAAUCUACUUUUUCGUGGGGGAUAACGUAGGGAAACUUACGCUAAUACCGCAUACGACCUACGGGUGAAAGCAGGGGAUCUUCGGACCUUGCGCGAUUGAAUGAGCCGAUGUCGGAUUGGCUAGUUGGCGGGGUAAAGGCCCACCAAGGCGACGAUCCGUAGCUGGUCUGAGAGGAUGAUCAGCCACACUGGAACUGAGACACGGUCCAGACUCCUACAGGAGGCAGCAGUGGGGAAUAUUGGACAAUGGGCGCAAGCCUGAUCCAGCCAUACCGCGUGGGUGAAGAAGGCCUUCGGGUUGUAAAGCCCUUUUGUUGGGAAAGAAAAGCAGCAGGUUAAUACCCCGCUGUUCUGACGGUACCCAAAGAAUAAGCACCGGCUAACUUCGUG